Non-coding RNA from Echinostoma caproni, 45 nucleotides. The record is from Rfam. NCBI's taxonomy places the organism in Eukaryota, Metazoa, Platyhelminthes, Trematoda, Plagiorchiida, Echinostomatidae.
GCACUGCUGACGAGUGCCAAACAAGAUGAAACAGCUGUCCAGUGC